UGGGGAAUUUUGGACAAUGGGGGAAACCCUGAUCCAGCCAUCCCGCGUGUGCGAUGAAGGCCUUCGGGUUGUAAAGCACUUUUGGCAGGAAAGAAACGCCAUGGGUUAAUACCCCGUGAAACUGACGGUACCUGCAGAAUAAGCACCGGCUAACUACGUGCCAGCAGCCGCGGUAAUACGUAGGGUGCAAGCGUUAAUCGGAAUUACUGGGCGUAAAGCGUGCGCAGGCGGUUCGGAAAGAAAGAUGUGAAAUCCCAGAGCUCAACUUUGGAACUGCAUUUUUAACUACCGGGCUAGAGUGUGGCAGAGGGAGGUGGAAUUCCGCGUGUAGCAGUGAAAUGCGUAGAUAUGCGGAGGAACACCGAUGGCGAAGGCAGCCUCCUGGGAUAACACUGACGCUCAUGCACGAAAGCGUGGGGAGCAAACAGG
This 429-nucleotide ribosomal RNA is filed under the name Acidobacteriota bacterium. Its description in RNAcentral is "Acidobacteria bacterium partial 16S ribosomal RNA". It matches the Rfam family "Bacterial small subunit ribosomal RNA", at positions 355 to 776 of the family's 1533-position model. Lineage: Bacteria; Pseudomonadati; Acidobacteriota. The record is from RNAcentral.